GAGGAACAUCAGCUGAUUUUCCCCCUCCCUGGGCUCAUUGUGGCACAGUAGCUCCUGCCACUGCUCCAACUGAAAUAAAGUUGCUGGUGUGGAAUGCCAAACCCUGAUGAGCCACGUUAGCAUCUAAAUCCUGGAACCUGCAUCAACCAUUCUUGUCUGUGCUCGAUCCAUGUCUCCAAAGUGGCCAUAACAAGGAAAAGAGGGAGAAAGGAGCCCACAGUUCUCAGCAGGCAGGAGCCCCUCCCCCACCCUCC
Long non-coding RNA from Hemiscyllium ocellatum (epaulette shark), 254 nucleotides. RefSeq lists it as uncharacterized. The transcript has 3 exons. The record is from RefSeq and is a predicted model, not a curated record. NCBI's taxonomy places the organism in Eukaryota, Metazoa, Chordata, Chondrichthyes, Orectolobiformes, Hemiscylliidae.